Molecule: ribosomal RNA, 1003 nt
Filed under: uncultured bacterium
Lineage: Bacteria
Description: bacterial SSU rRNA
Rfam family: Bacterial small subunit ribosomal RNA
Source: RNAcentral
AAUUCUACGGAGGCAGCAGUGGGAUAUGCACAUGGCGCAGCUGAUGCAGCGACGCGCGUGGGGAUGACGGCCUUCGGUGUAAACUCCUUUCAACCAUGACGAAGCUUUUUGUGACGGUAGUGGUAGAAGAAGCACCGGCUAACUACGUGCCAGCAGCCGCGGUAAUACGUAGGGUGCGAGCGUUGUCCGGAAUUACUGGGCGUAAAGAGCUCGUAGGUGGUUUGUCGCGUCGUCUGUGAAAUUCCGGGGCUUAACUCCGGGCGUGCAGGCGAUACGGGCAUAACUUGAGUACUGUAGGGGAGACUGGAAUUCCUGGUGUAGCGGUGAAAUGCGCAGAUAUCAGGAGGAACACCGAUGGCGAAGGCAGGUCUCUGGGCAGUUACUGACGCUGAGGAGCGAAAGCAUGGGUAGCGAACAGGAUUAGAUACCCUGGUAGUCCAUGCCGUAAACGGUGGGCGCUAGGUGUGGGGGUCUUCCACGACUUCCGUGCCGUAGCUAACGCAUUAAGCGCCCCGCCUGGGGAGUACGGCCGCAAGGCUAAGACUCAAAGGAAUUGACGGGGGCCCGCACAAGCGGCGGAGCAUGUGGAUUAAUUCGAUGCAACGCGAAGAACCUUACCUGGGCUUGACAUAUGCAGGAUCGGCACAGAGAUGUGUUUUCCCUUGUGGUCUGUAUACAGGUGGUGCAUGGUUGUCGUCAGCUCGUGUCGUGAGAUGUUGGGUUAAGUCCCGCAACGAGCGCAACCCUUGUCUUGUGUUGCCAGCACGUUAUGGUGGGGACUCGCGAGAGACUGCCGGGGUUAACUCGGAGGAAGGUGGGGAUGACGUCAAAUCAUCAUGCCCCUUAUGUCCAGGGCUUCACACAUGCUACAAUGGUCGGUACAGUGGGUUGCUACACCGUGAGGUGGUGCUAAUCCCUUUAAAGCCGGUCUCAGUUCGGAUUGGAGUCUGCAACUCGACUCCAUGAAGUCGGAGUCGCUAGUAAUCGCAGAUCAGCACGUGCG